GAUUAACGCUGGCGGCAUGCAUAACACAUGCAAGUCGAAUGUUGCAGCAAUGUAAACAUGGCAGACGGCUGAGUAACGCGUGGGAACGUACCCUCGAGUCGGGCAUAACUCUGCGAAAGCAGAGAUAAUUCCCGAUAUUCUCGCAAGAGAAAAGAUUUAUCGCUUGAGGAGCGGCCUGCGUCUGAUUAGCUUGUUGGUGGGGUAAAGGCCUACCAAGGCGAUGAUCAGUAGCUGGUUUGAGAGGAUGACCAGCCAGACUGGGACUGAGACACGGCCCAGACUCCUACGGGAGGCAGCAGUGAGGAAUUUUGCACAAUGGGCGAAAGCCUGAUGCAGCAAUGCCGCGUGAGGGAUGACAGCCUUCGGGUUGUAAACCUCUUUUAUAAAGGAAGAUUAUGACGGUACUUUAUGAAUAAGAGACUGCUAACUACGUGCCAGCAGCAGCGGUAAUACGUAGGUCUCAAGCGUUAUCCGGAUUUAUUGGGCGUAAAGGGUUCGUAGGCGGAUUGUUAAGUCUGAUAUUAAAGCUCAAGGCUCAACCUUGAAUCUGUAUUGGAAACUGGCAAUCUUGAGAGUGGGAGAGGCAGAUGGAACUCUUGGUGUAGGAGUAAAAUCCGUUGAUAUCAAGAGGAACGCCAAAUGCGAAGGCAAUCUGCUGGCCCAACUCUGACGCUCAGGAACGAAAGCGUGGGGAGCGACCGGGAUUAGAUACCCCGUUAGUCCACGCCGUAAACGAUGGGUGCUAGGCAUUGGAGUGUUCGACCCCUUCAGUGCCGCAGCUAACGCGUUAAGCACCCCGCCUGGGGAGUACGGUCGCAAGAUUAAAACUCAAAGGAAUUGACGGGGACCCGCACAAGCGGUGGAGCGUGUGGUUUAAUUCGAUGGUAAGCGGAGAACCUCACCAGGACUUGACAUCCUACUGAAAGCCACUGGAAACAGAGGCCCUCUUCGGACAGUAGAGACAGGUGCUGCACGGUUGUCGUCAGCUCGUGCCGUGAGGCGUUCCGUUAAGUCGGGUAACGAGCGCAACCCUUAUUGCUAGUUGUAUUUUUCUAGCGAGACUGCCGCGGUUAACGCGGAGGAAGGUGGGGAUGACGUCAAAUCAGCGUGGCCCUUAUGUCCUGGGCGACACACGCGCUACAAUGGCCGGUACAAUGGGUUGCCAAAUCGCGAGAUGGAGCUAAUCCCAAAAAACCGGCCCCAGUUCGGAUUGGAGUCUGCAACUCGACUCCAUGAAGCCGGAAUCGCUAGUAAACGCGAAUCAGCCACGUCGCGUUGAAUACGUUCUCGGGUCUUGUACACACCGCCCGUCACACCACGAAAGCCAGGGGCGCCCGAAAUUCCAACUUGCUUGGGCCUAAGGUGAAACUGGUGAUUGGGGUG
RNAcentral lists this ribosomal RNA (1383 nucleotides) under uncultured bacterium. RNAcentral describes it as "bacterial SSU rRNA". It matches the Rfam family "Bacterial small subunit ribosomal RNA". The record is from RNAcentral.